CCCCUAGGGAAAACCACCAAGCGUCCCUCUACCCAAAUAAACACCCAACUCUUGGGAAAUAAUGAGGAGGGUGGAGGAGGGGCGGGGCUGACCCCAACCCCAAUUUCUUAAUUCAUGACGUAUUGUUUGUACUUUGCUUGCGGUUUGACGAAAUAUAAGCCGUUUGCGUGCGGCCCUCGGUGUGUCAGUCUUCGGACUGCACCCCAGUGCACUGGUAUGUAUGUCAAUAAACUGGCCUCAGGCUUGAGUCUUUGAACUAAAAUCACUGCAUGGGUGUCUUUGACCACAACAAUUCGGGGGCUUGUCUGGGAUCACUCGACGUCCCACCGGACCGGAGGACCGUGGACCGCUUCCACACUGAUCCCAGGCUCCAGGUAAGAGACCCUUGUCUCUAUUUGGGCUUCGGUGGGGAGCUGCCCUUAGGCUCUGGGUUCAGGUAAGGACACGCUGUGAUCCGAACUUUUGAGGCUAGACUCAUUUGCCUGACGCCUGUUCGUUUUGUGUGUGUCCGUUCUGUAACUUGUCUGUUUAAAUUCUUGCAUCAUGCUAUGCUAUCUCUAUCAUUGUUUACUUAGGCUAUAAGCUAGAGGGUAUUGGGGACUGUCUGUUUGUGGUGUGUACACGAGGGUCUUAGACCCAACGGUUUCCUUGGAACAGCCUCGGUGAAAUUACUGGGACAUCCGUCUGGCAGUUAAACACUUUUAGAGUGCCAGCCCAGUAUAAAAACAAGUUUCGGAUGACAGGAGAUUAUUCAGGCAGGAACAGAGGCUAAAUAGACUGUGUGGUCUCUCCGGAACAUAAAGGAAACGGUUACUAACCACCUGAACAGGGAGUACGCCAAGCUCCUAUCCUUUGCUUUUUAAGCUUUCUACUUUGUCUUAGUCAGCUUUGUGGCUCACGCCUUUGGGGGGUGGUUCCCCCGGAGGGUGAACGACAGGCUGCUGAGGAACCCCGGAAAGGUGGACCCAUAGUGAGUAGGGGAUGGAAUCCACCCCCUGGAACCUACUGCAGGCGGGGUAAGGGACCGAGGAUAGCGGAGACCCCCACCUUGUUGGAGCUUAAGCAGUAGGGUGAGGCCAGGUCACUCUGGAACCGACUGCGAGUGGGGUAAGGGACUGGGAAUACCGGAGACCCCGAUUGCGUAAGUGGACAGGGAAUCUCGGAGCAGCCGAAGGGGCAGGCAGGGCUCCCACCAGCAAUAGGCUGUGUGGCUGGGUUGGCCCUGUGACCCGGGGAUUGGCAGAACUCCCACCAGUAUUAGGCUGGUGGCCGAGUAGGACUGUCAUAGUAAAGAUUACCCUGGUUUAGGUGUGGUGUGAUUGUGGGUCGUAAGGUGGUCCCAGGACCUGCUAUGGGCGGGGUAAAGGACCGAGAAUAGCAGAGACCCCCACUUUGUGUGAGUAGUAGGUCCCCAUCCUUUUUUGCCCAUUAAGUGACGAUUGCAUCCCUCCUUGCUCGGAGAGCAGGGAGGCCCUGGGAAACCACCCGCGUACUCCUAGGUAGUAGAGUAACCCAUCCCGUUCUCUUGAAGGCGGGCCGGUGCUCUCUGCUGGGGGAGGGGUGUGCGGGGACCAGGACUUUCCUAACCUUUCUGUGUGGUUGACCUACGACCAAAACCUUACCCCAAAUUUUCCCUUGGAGCAUGGACUCGCGUAUGGAGUGAGCUCCAGCCCCUGGAAAUCAUUUGCCAAAACCUGGGGCAACUGAGCAUCCUACCCCGUUCCUCUCAGAGGCGGAUUGGUAACUCGUUGCUGGACAGGGUGCAUGCGAGGACCUCCCUUUGUAAAUCCUCCCCAGUGGCGUGCAUGUUGGGGGAUUGGCAUCACCGGAGUUAUAGAGGCUAGGAAAAUUGCUCUCGCCUGGAAAGGAGACCAAGGCUUACUGCAGUGUUCUAGUGUUGUUGUGUUGUUUAACCACUCUGUGUAUAAUAGUAAUUGCUUUGUUAAAUAAUUAAUCCUCUCCUACAAGGGGGUUAGCAAAAAGCCCACCCUCCUUGCUGAAUUGAUAGUAAAACAAUGCCUGUGCCCAUGAAAAGAAGGAUUGGGCCCAAACGGGCAGGCAACUGCAGUUUAAGGAAGUUAAAAGAAAGAAAGUAAAAAGUUAACUCUGUAAUUACUGGUGGGAAUUAAGCAGUGAAACUAUAAAUAAAUGUUAAAAGAAAAAUUCUUGGUUUCUUUGCAGCCAUUCCUGUGGGAGUGUCUGUAAAUAAUCCAGGCAAAAGGUUAUAUAGGUAAAAUCAAUUGACUAUGAAAAAGUUAGUUAAAUUUGUUAAGAAACACUCCUGAUGUGUAUAAUUUUUGUUUUAUAAGUUUAAAAUAAAUUAAUGUUGUUUUGGGGUUAUAGAAAAAAAAAAUACUUUUGCCAAAUAAAGUAAACUAGUGUUGUUUAAUUUUGGUAUUUAGCAUUUAAUCCUUAAAGUAACUUAAUGCUUUACAAAAUGUAAAUUGUUUUAAAUAAAGACCAAAGUUGUGGCUGCAGCAGGGUAGCCAAAGCCAGGAAAAUGGAAAAUUUUAAAUCUGUUUUGGUAACAUAUACCAAAUAAAAGCAAAUAUCAACUAAAAACCACAAAUUGUUCUUGAAGUGUUGCUGGGUACACCUUAUACCCUGAUCACCUUUGGCGCCUCAGGAGCUCUGGCCCUAUUUGCUCGCGUGCAUCACCGGAUGACUGUGCACCGUUGAUUGCUGCAGUUAAGUAAAACUUUUCCUUUGUGGCCCAGCACUACUGCCAGCAACAUAAUGAUUAGGCAGGCAGCACUUUUCCCUCUUUGGAAACUUUCUCUAAAUAUUUGGAUUAAUUUUAUUCAAAUGUUUAAAUGUUAGAAUUGUAAGUAUGUGUUAGUUUUAGUAAUGUAUUUUCUUGUAAAAAGGACAAAUGCAGGAUCUUGGGCAGAGGUUUUACAACAGUUUUUGCAUUGGUAGAAUAUGUCAUACGGGGGUUGUUGUGAAGCUUUUGCUUAAGGAUUUUGUAUCACAUUCUGGCAUAUCUGAACUGAUUAUAAAAGAGCUAUGUGCAGCUUCACAAAUCCAGUAUGGCCAAAUGCCCUUUAAAGGCCACUCCCAAUCAAAAGACCAGAUUCAGCCCUCAUAAAAUUUUUACCAGGGCACCCAAUGCAACUACCGACAGUGCUCUGCUGGCCCUAGCUCAAAUAAACAGUCGUUUAAUAAAUUACACAAUAGUCAGGCACUAACAAAAUGUGUUAGGUCUUUUUAUAUACAGCAGUCCUGCCACACGCUGAAACCAGAAAACUGGGUCUACAUAAAGGUCCAUCAGCAAAGAACUGCCCUGGCCCCAUGCUAAGGGACUCUUGUCCGCUGACAAAUCCACUAAGCCUUUGGACCUUGCUAAGAAAACAACUUCUCCACCUGAGGCCAUAAUAAAGCCUCCAACCAAGCAAGGUGAUUGUGCUAGUAACCCCUCUGUAAUAGGUCCUUGCCGGGGCUCGACCUUCUGGGCAGGAGGGGAGCCACACUGACUCACUACUGUGGGAACAAGCAGUCCAUUAGUCCAGAGGCUCCGGCCCUCUGGUGCAGGGGCGGAGCAAAGCCGACAGCUAGCUCAGGGCUCAGGCCCUCAGACAGGGGCUGAGCAGGCAACCGUUAGUUCAGGGCUCAGGCCCUCGGGUGCAGGGACUGAGCAGACCACAGUUCGUUCCAGGCUCAGGCCCUUGGUUGCAGGGGCUGAGCAAGCAAACAGUCAAAGAGCCCAGGCCCUGGAUCAGGGCGGGGCACGCACAGUUAUAGCUCAGGCCCUUGGUUGCAGGGGCUGAGCAAGCAAACAGUUAAGGAGCCCAGGCCCUGGAUCAGGGCGGGGCACACACAGUUAUAGCUCAGGCCCUUGGUUGCAGGGGCUGAGCAGGCAAACAGCUGGGGUACGCCCAGGCUCCUACAGCCGAGCGUUGGGUGAGGGGGAAGCCUGCCACCCGUGAGCGGGGGUGGCAGGGGGGAACGCAGGCCCACCCACUCCACUGCGUUCCAGCCCGGGGCCCUAGCAGCGGUUACUACCGCUGCUGGUCAGUGGGGUAUCCUGCCCGAAACACACUGACAUUGGCUCACAUUCGUCUGCAGCCUGACCGGGGUCAGCUACCCCCGGGCUACUUCCAGGUUCCCCCUCAGGGCCUACCUCGUUCGUGGCACCGGGCUCGGGCCAGUCCAGCUGCAUAGGCUCCUCUCGGCCAGGGCUUGGUGGCAGGUCCGGCAGCUCCGUCGGGAAAUCAGGCCAACUGCACUCGGGCGGCUCCUCCGGCCUCAUUGCCAGACAGCUAAGUGAACUAAGACUACGAAAUCUUGAAGAAUAACUUGCGGAAGCUAGCCAAAACUACCUGAAGAUAUAACUUAAUAUUCCUCAGCCUCUCCUCCUUAACGAACUUGGGGUGUGUUGCGGUAUGAUGCAGGCUAAAUUGGAUCAGUAGUCUCCGGUUUGGCCUGUGUCGUAUUGCGGUGUACCCCGGCUCUACAUGGUUGCCCACCGUUGUGGUCCCCACUCCCCAGCUACUCCCCCUCGUGUCUUCUCCAAUUCCCAUACAAAUCUGUCUGGCCAUAGCCUCAGAGAAAAAAAAUUCAAGUCUCGGAACAACAAAUGUGGUAUAGCACACCCUACCAACAGGAUUGUUCUUUCCAAUGGUGGAUUGUGCUAAAUGCUACUAUAAGAACAAUCACCUUCUCACUCCCCCUCUCAGCUUUUCAAAUAACUACCCAGUACCCAAAUUGUUCUCAGGGAGCGGCCAUUUGACUGGCCCAGCUUGUGCAGUGGGAAAGUCUUUAUCAGGGAAAGGGAGGAUUGGUGGAAGGGGCUUACAUGGCCUAACUGGAGCAGCCGCUAUUUGAACAAUAGACAAAGCCCAGGAUCAUGAAAAACGUCUGGAAAAUUUGGAAAGAGCAUCAGGCCUCCUUACUGAGGUAGGGCUAACCAACACCUAUACCAAUAUAAAGGUGCCGCCAUGCCUUGUCAGGACUGGGAACCACAACCCAAACCCUCCUACAAAAAUUAAUAAACACCCUUGCCCUAGUAGGAAAGGACACUGGCUGGGAUUCAGCUUGUAGCCAAAUGCAGGGUUUCUUUAACAGUCUCUUAGCAGAAAUGUGAGGCGAUGUCCUAGGUCAGUGAUGGCCCAAAAUCCUUACCACUACUGUGGGAGUGCCACCCGAGCUGUGGAAGUGGAGACAUACGUGGACAUUGUCACAAUGGAGCUGUGACUCCGUCGCAUGUACCUUCCAAGCUUUGGGACCUAUUAAUGGCACCUGGGCUCCAGUGCAAUUGCUUGUGCCUGGGCCAUGGGCAAACUGUCUAUGGGACUGGGUAAUCAAUCGGCAGGUAUGGGAAGUCAAACCACCCCACGGACCUAGCCGUUUCAUCACCACUCCCCAUGAUUUCGCUGCGCAACAUGUCUGGGUGGGAAUCGGAACCUUGUGGUCUUUGUGGCCCUUGGAACCCCCACAGUUGUCCUGCCUCCGCAAGCUGCAUCCUGGGGAAGUACUCAAUGUCUUAGAUAUGGCCUGUUGGGAAGGGGAAGCAAUAGGGAAAGACCCAGAAGGAAAAUUGUUAUUUAAUAAAAAAGAUGGGUGCGCCCUGCCAUCCAGUCCCCAACUCCCUCUUCCUUUCCACCUUAACUUAACCACUGCACAAUGUAGCCAUUUCAUCACGUGGCCUGGUAUGCCCCAAAUCUAUGUGUCCCUUCACCCAGCCAUCCCCCUUACUUUUGAUUGGACUUCCCUCAUCUCUAACCGUUUCUUAAACUUAACCUCUCUAUUCUCUCUCCUCUCUAACAUGUCUUACCUUCAAACCCAAAUCCAUGUAAUAGAAAUUGAAUAUAAUAAGACAGCCAAAGCAUUUCAGGCCGUUUACCGAUUAGGUGCCCUAUGUUCUUCCCACGACAUUGCGUGUUUUAUCUCUAAAGGAAUCACCCAACUUGCACCCAGCCUCCUCACUUCUUUAGUCUUAAAAAUUCUGCUUGGUAUUACCCUUGCAAUCUGUUGCGGGUUGUUGAUUGCCGUCCUCUGUUGAUUAUGUAGAAUAUGCCGUUUGCCCCAGUUACAGCCUCAACCACCACCCAAAGCCCUAUUCUCUUCCACAGAUAUCACCGAUCCUACACUCUAUUGUUCCACAGACCCGGAGAUUAACCACCUUUGUAUUAAUUCUGAAUCCGAAUAAUGUCCUAUGGCCUCUUUGCUAAACAAGAAUAGUGAUGCUUGUAUGGCAUCAGAGGAGGGAAAUUGUGGGGAAAUAGAACAGGGGGGCCUUCUUUUUGAUAGCCAGAGCUGUGAAUCUGAAGGCCCCGAAAUAAACCCUCCAACAGAGAUCUGUUAUGCUGACUGCCCAUACUUAGAGCAAUACAGGCCUAAGCCUGAGCAAGACUGAACAACACAGUUCUCUGCCAAACUCGGUCAAGGGUAAUGGCCAGAGGAGGGGGCGGGGGGGUGUGGAAGAAGAAAACCACAGAACAAUGCUAAAGGUUACAACAGAAACUGCUUUAGCAAUAUAAUAACCGCAAGUUUAUGAAACCGCUGGAAAAAUAGAAUAUCCGCUUACAUUAAGAAAUUGCCUUUGCAAAGAGCUAAUCAUUCUUGUAGUUGCAGCUAUCUGCAAAGUUUUCCAAUUCUAGCUAUCUGCAAAAUUAGCCAAUCAUAGAUCUUCUUUUAGCGUCCCUUGAUAAACCCCCCUUAACCCUUCACCGAAAACCCCCGGAAAAUAACAUGUGCCUUGCCGAGAAAUGUACCCAAAGUGCCAAGUACCACCCCUAGGGAAAACCACCAAGCGCCCCUCUACCCAAAUAAACACCCAACUCUUGGGAAAUAAUGAGGAGGGUGGAGGAGGGGCGGGGCUGACCCCAACCCCAAUUUCUUAAUUCAUGACGUAUUGUUUGUACCUUGCUUGCGGUUUGACGAAAUAUAAGCCGUCUGCGUGCAGCCCUCGGUGUGUCAGUCUUCAGACUGCACCCCAGUGCACUGGUAUGUAUGUCAAUAAACUGGCCUCAGGCUUGAGUCUUUGAACUAUAA
Long non-coding RNA from Malaclemys terrapin pileata, 6993 nucleotides. RefSeq lists it as uncharacterized. The record is from RefSeq and is a predicted model, not a curated record. Lineage: Eukaryota; Metazoa; Chordata; Testudines; Emydidae. The transcript is spliced from 2 exons.